UGUAUCGGAACGUGUCCUGUCGUGGGGGAUAGCCCGGUGAAAACCGGAUUAAUACCGCAUACGAUCGAGAGAUGAAAGUGGGGGACCGCAAGGCCUCACGCGAUAGGAGCGGCCGAUAUCUGAUUAGCUAGUUGGUGGGGUAAAAGCCUACCAAGCCGACGAUCUGUAGCUGGUCUGAGAGGACGACCAGCCACACUGGGACUGAGACACGGCCCAGACUCCUACGGGAGGCAGCAGUGGGGAAUUUUGGACAAUGGGCGCAAGCCUGAUCCAGCCAUGCCGCGUGCGGGAAGAAGGCCUUCGGGUUGUAAACCGCUUUUGUCAGGGAAGAAAAGCUCUGGGCUAAUACCCCGGGGUCAUGACGGUACCCGAAGAAUAAGCACCGGCUAACUACGUG
Molecule: ribosomal RNA, 397 nt
Filed under: uncultured beta proteobacterium
Lineage: Bacteria; Pseudomonadati; Pseudomonadota; Betaproteobacteria
Description: bacterial SSU rRNA
Rfam family: Bacterial small subunit ribosomal RNA
Source: RNAcentral